This 2446-nucleotide long non-coding RNA is filed under the name Nilaparvata lugens (brown planthopper). RNAcentral describes it as "uncharacterized LOC120351128". The record is from RNAcentral. Lineage: Eukaryota; Metazoa; Arthropoda; Insecta; Hemiptera; Delphacidae.
UUUUCUUUUCCAUUUCCUUAAAUCAAAACGCCUUCUCUGAUUGGUACUUGAUGCAUCUAAUCAUGAUUAAAACUUAACAAGCCUUUGUCCUUUAUUUUAACAGGCCCUAAACUUAAAAAUCUGCCUCAACCUUCAAUAACAAAGCUUUUUUAUGUUAACUGGUCUUUUCAACUUAGCCUGACCCAACCUCUCAAAUCUAACCUGACCUUACUUUAUCUCGAUAACUAUCCAAAGCCUAUAGUAUCAUCGAAUUCAUUUAUUUGAAUAAUUACAAUAUAGUCAAAUUUACGUUAUAAAGUCAGCGUAUAUUAUUUAGGCCGGUACAUUGGUUUGAUAUUCUUGUCUAUCAUUGAACAAAUAAAGCCGAUUAUCUAUUCUUUUCCCACUCCACACCGCUGUCAAAUUGUUUGUAGACUAACGUACGGUAGGCUAUAUAUAUAUAGUUAGCCUAUAGCCUAUAAUGAACUAACAUAACAGUUAUCUCCAUCUUAUUCAGCACAUUUAUAGCACACAUCUUAUUCAGCACAUUAUAGUUUAAAUACUGUAUUAUACUAGACCUAUAAUACAUACCGUAUAGAAAAUCAGGGAGUCAAACGACACUAUUUUUAGGUAUAAAAAUAUAACUAACAGAAAAUAUUUUCAAGUCAUGUUACGUUAUUCCAACAAAAAGAAUAAAAUAGAAUUUGAUUGAUAAUAAUAUUACAGGUUAUCGCCUAUUGUACGGUUUGGCGAGAAUAUAACAUAUCGGUUGGAAGACUGCUCCAGAGUCGCGAAGCUGUAACCGUGAAAGAACCGUUAAUACAUGACAGUUCGAUGGAGUGAAAUCUGCAAAAAGUCAUCCUGCUGCCGAGUGUUCUUGUAAUGAUGAAUUUGUAUAGUUACCGGGACGGGACCCUAAUAAGGGUCAGUAGUUUAAUUUCAUUUCAUUAUUUCAACUGAAGCAUGACUUGACAACAAUAAUAGUCACAUGGCCACCGCUUUGUCUUUGAGCCUCAGCUGGGGAGGGAUUCCCUACGAGAUUCUCGCUAUUAUUGUUGCCCAAAUUCUAAUUUGAAUUUCUUUAUUGAGAGGGGUUCAAUGUCUUCUAUAGCACCGACCAAUGAGAAUUUCUUGCUAAACAUCAAUUAUUCAAACUUUGUACAGAAAACACUUUUAAAGUGGGAUCACUUACUCUUUAGCAAAAACGACGUUUCGGUCAUCUUCAGACUCAAAAUUACUGUCGAGUCAUGACCAAUAACAGGUCGAAAUGUCGUCACUGCUAAAGAGUAAGUUUUUCCACUUUAAAAGUGUUUUUAUACAAUGUUUAAACUAAUAAUAGAAAAGAAUAGAUUCACAACACAGCAUAUUAAUAAUUAUUGUGAUAUACUGAAUACAUUACCUAAAUAACUCAAGGAACGCUACUUGAAUAUCGUCUAUUGAGCUGGUUUGAUAUUGUGUUUUCAUAAAGCUACAAGACCAAAAUAGUAGCACAUAAGUAGACAAUUUAUUUUUGAAACCCUCGAGAAUUACGAUACUGGGCAUCAACGUCCUAGGAAGUGAUUUUGAAAUUUCAUAGCAAAGUGUUUUUUUAGGUAAUUGGUGCCUUCAAGUAAUUAAAUACUAGAUCAAGUGCUCAACCAAUUUUCCAAUAGAUAAAUAGAAUGACAAAUUGGAAACCAAUUUGACAAAAAUGAAGAUCUAGAGAACAGUAGAUUCCAAAUAUUAAAUCCAAAUUACAAUUCUAAGCUGUUUAGGUGAAUACAUAUGAAAUGAAUAAUUCAAUUCAUCAAUAAACUUACAAUUUUCGGGAACCAGCAUUGAGAUGAUCAUAUUCAUUUGAUAUUUACUUUUUGAAAUUAUGCUUUUCCAUUCGCUAUUUUAUUCAGUGGACAUUGAAGAGUAACACACAUAGAAUCAGAGAAAUUGAGAAAUCAUAAAUUAUGUUAUGCUACUUUUUUGGUAAAUUAGGAACAUUUAAGAAGACAAAUUAUAUACAGAACAAAAUGUAAAAAUUUAAUGAGCAAGCUGUUUAAAAUAUAUAAAUGGAUUCACAAGUAAGAGUUAACAAACAAACCUUUAAUAAAUUUAUUUUACCUGGAAUUUAAACUAGACUUCAAUGUAGAACACUAAUUUAGCAUCCAUGAACAUAGAAUAUAAUUUCAUUUCAUUUCAUUUUACUUUUCUUCGUUAAAGUCUUCGUUAAAACACGUGGAACUGUGCUUUAUUAGGUACCUUAAAUCACUUUCCUUUAUAAUUAUCCAAAAUUAUAUUACGGUACUAACAUUACUUCACUCAUUUAACUUGUUUGAAAUCUUAUUGUAUUAAAGCUUUAUAAAGAUAGAAUCACCCGACAGUCUCAAAUCCUACCACUAACUUCAAAACAGUGGUUACCAGUUGGUUGGUCUGUGCUCGAUUGACCAAUGAAUCCAUUAAGAACCCUUAUGAUUCAUAAUCAUAUACACAAAUA